Molecule: ribosomal RNA, 433 nt
Filed under: uncultured bacterium
Lineage: Bacteria
Description: partial 16S ribosomal RNA
Rfam family: Bacterial small subunit ribosomal RNA
Source: RNAcentral
AACGAACGCUGGCGGCAUGCCUAACACAUGCAAGUCGAACGAGACCUUCGGGUCUAGUGGCGCACGGGUGCGUAACGCGUGGGAACCUGCCCUUAGGUUCGGAAUAACUCAGAGAAAUUUGAGCUAAUACCGGAUGAUGUCUUCGGACCAAAGAUUUAUCGCCUUUAGAUGGGCCCGCGUUGGAUUAGCUAGUUGGUGGGGUAAAGGCCUACCAAGGCGACGAUCCAUAGCUGGUCUGAGAGGAUGAUCAGCCACACUGGGACUGAGACACGGCCCAGACUCCUACGGGAGGCAGCAGUGGGGAAUAUUGGACAAUGGGCGAAAGCAUGAUCCAGCAAUGCCGCGUGAGUGAUGAAGGCCUUAGGGUUGUAAAGCUCUUUUACCCGAGAUGAUAAUGACAGUAUCGGGAGAAUAAGCUCCGGCUAACUCCGUG